This 411-nucleotide ribosomal RNA is filed under the name uncultured Rhizophagus. RNAcentral describes it as "partial 28S ribosomal RNA". The record is from RNAcentral. Lineage: Eukaryota; Fungi; Glomeromycota; Glomeromycetes; Glomerales; Glomeraceae.
GAGAGUUAAACAGUACGUGAAAUUGUUGAAAGGGAAACGAUUGAAGCCAGUCGUACCAGCGGAUAAUCAGCCUUUAGAUGCGAUUUUGUGGAGCGUGAAGAGCUAAUCGCCUUCAUGUUUGUAUAUUCGUGUACUUGGGGUGUACUUAUUCGUGUGGUAAGUUAACAUCAAUUUUGGUUGUCAUAAAAUGAUUGGAGGAAUGUAGCUUCGAUCUCGUAUUGAAGUGUUAUAGCCUUUGGUAGAUGUGAUGAUCGGGAUUGAGGAUUGCAACGGAUACCCUUCGGGGCUACCUGUCUGAUCUCUGAUUGUUGCUUUGGUGCUGAAAGCUUGCUUAUGGUUAUCAAAGUCGAUGGUCAAUAGGUUAGAAUAGGUUAAAUUCGUUAAGGAUGUUGACGUAAUGGCUUUAAACGA